RNAcentral lists this ribosomal RNA (477 nucleotides) under uncultured bacterium. Its description in RNAcentral is "bacterial SSU rRNA". It matches the Rfam family "Bacterial small subunit ribosomal RNA", at positions 29 to 507 of the family's 1533-position model. The record is from RNAcentral.
AACUAACGCUGGCGGCGUGCCUAACACAUGCAAGUCGUACGAGAAAGUCGGCUUCGGCUGAUGAGUAAAGUGGCGCACGGGUGAGUAACGCGUGGAUAAUCUGCCUUUUAGUUGGGAAUAACGUACCGAAAGGUGCGCUAAUACCGGAUAAUACUGCAUAACUACUGUUGUGUAGUCAAAGAAGGCCUCUGUUUACAAGCUUUUGCUGAAAGAUGAGUCCGCGUACCAUUAGCUAGUUGGUAGGGUAAUGGCCUACCAAGGCUACGAUGGUUAGCUGGUCUGAGAGGAUGAUCAGCCACACUGGAACUGAGACACGGUCCAGACUCCUACGGGAGGCAGCAGUGGGGAAUAUUGCACAAUGGAGGGAACUCUGAUGCAGCGACGCCGCGUGAGUGAAGAAGGUCUUCGGAUCGUAAAACUCUGUCCUUGGUGAAGAAAAGGACGGUAGCCAAGGAGGAAGCCCCGGCUAACUACGUG